GGAGGGAUCAUUAUAGAGUUUUCUAAACUCCCAACCCAUGUGAACUUACCUUUUGUUGCCUCGGCAGAAGUUAUAGGUCUUCUUAUAGCUGCUGCCGGUGGACCAUUAAACUCUUGUUAUUUUAUGUAAUCUGAGCGUCUUAUUUUAAUAAGUCAAAACUUUCAACAACGGAUCUCUUGGUUCUGGCAUCGAUGAAGAACGCAGCGAAAUGCGAUAAGUAAUGUGAAUUGCAGAAUUCAGUGAAUCAUCGAAUCUUUGAACGCACAUUGCGCCCAUUAGUAUUCUAGUGGGCAUGCCUGUUCGAGCGUCAUUUCAACCCUUAAGCCUAGCUUAGUGUUGGGAAUCUACUUCUYUKAKKAGUUGUAGUUCCUGAAAUACAACGGCGGAUUUGUAGUAUCCUCUGAGCGUAGUAAUUUUUUUCUCGCUUUUGUUAGGUGCUAUAACUCCCAGCCGCUAAACCCCCAAUUUUUUGUGGUUGACCUCGGAUCAGGUAGGAAUACCCGCUGAACUUAAGCAUAUCAAUAAGCGGAGGAAAAGAAACCAACAGGGAUUGCCUUAGUAACGGCGAGUGAAGCGGCAACAGCUCAAAUUUGAAAUCUGGCCCUUGGGUCCGAAUUGUAAUUUGUAGAGGAUGAUUUUGGUGCGGUAUCUUCCGAGUUCCUUGGAACAGGACGCCUUAGAGGGUGAGAGCCCCGUACGGUUGAAUGCCUAGCCUCUGUAAAUCUCCUUCGACGAGUCGAGUAGUUUGGGAAUGCUGCUCUAAAUGGGAGGUAAAUUUCUUCUAAAGCUAAAUAUUGGCCAGAGACCGAUAGCGCACAAGUAGAGUGAUCGAAAGAUGAAAAGCACUUUGAAAAGAGGGUUAAAUAGCACGUGAAAUUGUUGAAAGGGAAGGAUUUGUGACCAGACUUUUUCUGGGCGGAUCAUCCGGGGUUCUCUCCGGUGCACUUCGCCCAGUAAAGGCCAGCAUCGGUUUUCGGCGUGGGAUAAAAGCAGUAGGAAUGUGGCUCUCUACGGGGAGUGUUAUAGCCUAUUGUAUAAUACCGCGCUGGGGACCGAGGUUCGCGCUCGCA
RNAcentral lists this ribosomal RNA (1070 nucleotides) under fungal endophyte. RNAcentral's name for it is "eukaryotic LSU rRNA". The record is from RNAcentral. Lineage: Eukaryota; Fungi.